RNAcentral lists this transfer RNA (52 nucleotides) under Cooperia oncophora. RNAcentral's name for it is "tRNA-Ser". The record is from RNAcentral. Lineage: Eukaryota; Metazoa; Nematoda; Chromadorea; Rhabditida; Trichostrongylidae.
AAUGAGUUAUAUGCAAGUCUUCUAAAUUUGUUUUAGGGAAACCUGCUCAUUU